UACGAAGGGGGCUAGCGUUGCUCGGAAUCACUGGGCGUAAAGGGCGCGUAGGCGGCUUCGCUAGUCGGGCGUGAAAUGCCUGGGCUUAACCCGGGAAUUGCGUUCGAUACUUCGAGGCUAGAGUGUGGGAGAGGUUGGUGGAAUUCCCAGUGUAGAGGUGAAAUUCGUAGAUAUUGGGAAGAACACCGGUGGCGAAGGCGGCCAACUGGACCACAACUGACGCUGAGGCGCGAAAGCGUGGGGAGCAAACAGG
RNAcentral lists this ribosomal RNA (253 nucleotides) under uncultured bacterium. RNAcentral describes it as "partial 16S ribosomal RNA". It matches the Rfam family "Bacterial small subunit ribosomal RNA", at positions 524 to 776 of the family's 1533-position model. The record is from RNAcentral.